This 1241-nucleotide small RNA is filed under the name uncultured Burkholderia sp. Its description in RNAcentral is "bacterial SSU rRNA". The stretch from base 1 to 463 matches the Rfam family "Bacterial small subunit ribosomal RNA", at positions 1064 to 1533 of the family's 1533-position model. The record is from RNAcentral. Lineage: Bacteria; Pseudomonadati; Pseudomonadota; Betaproteobacteria; Burkholderiales; Burkholderiaceae.
GUCGUGAGAUGUUGGGUUAAGUCCCGCAACGAGCGCAACCCUUGUCCUUAGUUGCUACGCAAGAGCACUCUAAGGAGACUGCCGGUGACAAACCGGAGGAAGGUGGGGAUGACGUCAAGUCCUCAUGGCCCUUAUGGGUAGGGCUUCACACGUCAUACAAUGGCCGGUACAGAGGGUUGCCAACCCGCGAGGGGGAGCCAAUCCCAGAAAGCCGGUCGUAGUCCGGAUUGCAGUCUGCAACUCGACUGCAUGAAGUCGGAAUCGCUAGUAAUCGCGGAUCAGCAUGUCGCGGUGAAUACGUUCCCGGGUCUUGUACACACCGCCCGUCACACCAUGGGAGUGGGGUGCACCAGAAGUAGGUAGGCUAACCGCAAGGGGGCCGCUUACCACGGUUUGCUUCAUGACUGGGGUGAAGUCGUAACAAGGUAGCCGUAUCGGAAGGUGCGGCUGGAUCACCUCCUUUCUCGGAGUCAGGAGUCAGCGGUCAGUUGCCAGUAGUCAGUUGGCAGUGACUGCGCUCCCAUCCAUAGCCUUAGCACCCACAGCCUAUCGGACGUCAGCACACGCAUUCGGCGCGGUGCGGGGUGGUGGUUGCAAGGUCAACUGCCUCCUGUCCACGGCGCACUGAAUCGGGCCUGUAGCUCAGUUGGUUAGAGCACCGUCUUGAUAAGGCGGGGGUCGAUGGUUCGAAUCCAUCCAGACCCACCAGUGAGCCUGGGGCUUGGCCGCGGUCGACACGGGGGCUGUAGCUCAAUUGGGAGAGCGCCUGCUUUGCAAGCAGGAGGUCGUCGGUUCGAUCCCGUCCAGCUCCACCAUUCAGGAGUCAGUUGACGGUUGUCAGUUGACAGUCCCGAACGCAGUCGUCAUCAGCCAGUCGAUCGUUGGUCGUUCACUGCCAACUGUCAACUGCCUACUGGCAUCUGACCAGUAUUGGUUGCUCUUUAACAAUCCGGAAGAAGUAGAGAUGUCUUGCUCGCGAGGGUGGGCCAGGGCGACCGCCAUGGUGCGCGUUCACGAGUGAGAUGGGUUUGAUUGUAUCGAGCCUGCUGUUCCCUUAGUCGGGGGCGGUGGGUGAAUCGCAAACACCCGUGACGCUGGUGCUGUGUCAGCAGUGCGUAGCGUUAUGGGGUCAAGCGACUAAGUGCAUGUGGUGGAUGCCUUGGCGAUCACAGGCGAUGAAGGACGUGGCAGCCUGCGAAAAGCUGCGGGGAGCUGGCAAACGAGCAAUGAUCCGCAGAUGU